Long non-coding RNA from Nyctereutes procyonoides (raccoon dog), 912 nucleotides. RefSeq lists it as uncharacterized. The record is from RefSeq and is a predicted model, not a curated record. The transcript has 3 exons. Lineage: Eukaryota; Metazoa; Chordata; Mammalia; Carnivora; Canidae.
UGAGGAUACAGAACAAGUCUGCAACCUAGAAAAAGACCCUCAUCGAACUAAGCUGGCACCAUGAUUUUGGACUUCUAGCCUCCAGAACUCAGAGAGUAUGCUACUGCCAGAAACAUAAGCCAAGAUAAUGCUUCCAGAUCCUGGUUUAAUCUUCAGUUACCUCAUUCACCCACCCUUCACAAACCUUCACCUUGGCAAAUUUGGCUUUUGGCUACCAAGUGUCCCUCAGUGGGAUGAAGGGAAUUCUCUAUGCUGGAAGAAGAGUCUUGUCAGUGCCCAGUGUGGCCUAGCUCCAGCUUCAUAAAAGAUCAUAGGCACAUUGAGCCCCAUCAUCCCUUCAUUAUAUGAAAACACAAAGUGCUUUGCGUUAAACUUUUUUUCUUUUUGCUACAACUCUGAACCAGUAAUAAACCCAUUUUGAGAUAUUUAGCCAACUUUAAAAAGUUAUUUUUCAUUUCUUCUUACCCCAUAUUUCUGCUUAGGAAAAGUAAAAGCUAGAAAGAGAUUUGAGAAUUUCUUCCAACAGCUAUGUCUGACCCAGUAAAAAGCAGGAAUGAAAUAUACAGAAUGAUACAAAUGUUUCUCUCCUCCAACUUAAUAUCAUCUCUGUUAUUACUAUAAGGUGAUGUUGGUGAAGGCAGUAAAAUAUCUUGGUUAAGAAUAUGAGUUCUGGAACCAGACAGAUUUGCAACUCUUUAGUUCAAAUCAGUGACCGGUUGUGUGCCUUUGGGUUACUGCCUUUCUUCUCCUCUCCUCCCUGUCUCAGCCUCUUUACAUAUCAGUGUGAAAGACAAAAGUAUGAACUUCAAGGAACUAUUGAGGAAACCAAGUGUGAUAGUGUCCAUAGAGCACUAAACUCUGUGUCUAGCAUGUAAUGGUAGUAAGCACUCAAUAAACAUUAGCAAAUUUUAA